RNAcentral lists this ribosomal RNA (481 nucleotides) under uncultured bacterium. RNAcentral's name for it is "bacterial SSU rRNA". It matches the Rfam family "Bacterial small subunit ribosomal RNA", at positions 26 to 518 of the family's 1533-position model. The record is from RNAcentral.
UACGAGGACGAACGCUGGCGGCGUGCCUAACACAUGCAAGUCGAACGGAGUCAAGAAGCUUGCUUUUGACUUAGUGGCGGACGGGUGAGUAACGCGUGAGUAACCUGCCUCUGAGAGGGGAAUAACGUUCUGAAAAGAACGCUAAUACCGCAUAACGUAUCGAAGCCGCAUGACUUUGAUACCAAAGAUUUUAUCGCUCGGAGAUGGACUCGCGUCCGAUUAGUUAGUUGGUGAGGUAACGGCUCACCAAGACCGCGAUCGGUAGCCGGACUGAGAGGUUGAUCGGCCACAUUGGGACUGAGACACGGCCCAGACUCCUACGGGAGGCAGCAGUGGGGGAUAUUGCGCAAUGGGGGCAACCCUGACGCCAGCAACGCCGCGUGAAGGAUGAAGGUUUUCGGAUUGUAAACUUCUUUUAUCAGGGACGAAGCUUGACGGUACCUGAUGAAUAAGCUCCGGCUAACUACGUGCCAGCAGCCGC